Molecule: non-coding RNA, 45 nt
Organism: Aedes albopictus (Asian tiger mosquito)
Lineage: Eukaryota; Metazoa; Arthropoda; Insecta; Diptera; Culicidae
Source: Rfam
ACACCGGUCUUUUUCAAGACCAACCAUAAGAGUUGGAAUAAUUUU